UGUAAUGAGUCUUUGUAGUGAAUUGAAUGGAUGCUGCUAAACCAGUAAGCCAAUUCUCGAUUGUAUGAGUCAGCUCUUUUUAAUUAAUCAGACUUAUGCAGCUGUGUAGGCCGAUUCCCAAACGAAUGACUCUUGAGUCAAAUAGCAAGUCAAACAGAUGCAGAACCAACGUCCUAUUCCUAAACGAAUGACUCAAGGCAUAACCAGUGUAGUCUGUUUCCCAAACGAAUGACUCUGAGUUGGUUCUUUUAAGUGAAUCAAACCCAUGCAACUGAAACUUGAAAAAAAAAAUCCAGUUAUUUAUUCCUUAGAAAAUUGGAAAUGGAGUCAUUAAUGCUAUUUGCAUGCCUGGAAAACACUUCAUGUGCACUAUUUCUCUGUGUCCUCUCUUUUCGUCCCUCCAGAGCAGUGACCACACCCUUGGCCCAUUUCUGUGAAAGUGCAGAUGGGUAAUCCCACAAUAAUUAUUUCCAGAUUAGGAGAAUUGGGCCACAAAGCAGGCCUAGUCAGGCAUGAAAUGGCCUCUCAAACACAGCAGCGGCAGCUCCAGACGACCACCUGCCUGACACUAACUCGCCUCACCUGGACCGAAAGACUGAAACAGUCAAGAAAACCAUGCAGUGUCUUUGGAGAAAAGACUGUGAGCUUUCAAGAAGAAUGGAAAGGUGAGCCUUCAAGGUAGAAGAUUUUUCCAAGAAAGUCCAACACUUGGGGAAACAAGAGAAGCAACUGCUAUCUAACAGUACACAUGAGGCCCAGACGCACAAUGGAGACGCUGGUCCUUGAAAAACUCUGGCGUAUUUCCAAAGGCCCGGAUCCUGCUCAGGAGCGAUUGAUGGGAAUUUGGGAGACACAAUGGAGCGGCGGAUUGGCUUUAACUCUCACCUGCGUAAAUGAAACUGUAGAGGUCAGAGCUGAAUAACACCAAAACCAGCAUUCAUGAGCGUUAUUUUCACGACUGCAUUUACAUGCAUCAGGAUUAUGCAGCUUUCAGAAUUAAACUGAGGAUGCUUUUAAUAUGCCUUUUAGAAGAAGAAUAGGGGGAAAAUGUAUAAAGUGCAGUUUUAUAUACAUUUUCAGUAUAUGACCCAUAAACGUCAUUAUGCACAGCAGUGGUGUUACUGUAAACUACAAUCGAAAUAGAAGUGUGUGUGUGUGUGUGUGUGUGUGUGUGUGUGUGUGUGUGUGUGUGUGUGUGUGUGUGUGUGUGUGUGUGUAUAUAUAUAUUUGUUUGUAUGUAUGUGUAUUUAAAUAUAUAACAAAAAAUAAUAAAAAUGACAAUCAAAUCA
Long non-coding RNA from Cyprinus carpio (common carp), 1289 nucleotides. Lineage: Eukaryota; Metazoa; Chordata; Actinopteri; Cypriniformes; Cyprinidae. The record is from Ensembl.